UACCCAAAGUUCCCAUGGCAAACUGCUCAGUAACACAUGAUCAACUUACCCUAUAGAGAAAAAUAACCUCGGGAAACUGAGGAUAAUGUUUCAUAGUUGAAUUGGCUUGGAAAAGCUUUUCGACGAAAGGGGUAAAAAGAAUGGUUUUUAUCUGCUAUAGGAUAGGAUCGUGUUCGAUUAUGGUUGUUGGUGAGGUAAUGGCUCACCAAGCCGAUAAUCGAUAGGGGCCGUGAGAGCGGGAGCCCCGAGAUGGGUACUGAGACAACGACCCAGGCCUUACGAGGCGCAGCAGGCGCGAAACCUCCGCAAUACACGAAAGUGUGACGGUGUUACCCAAAGUGUUCAAUUUUGAACUGUGGUAGGUGAGUAAUGUUCCCUACUAGAAAGGAGAGGGCAAGGCUGGUGCCAGCCGCCGCGGUAAAACCAGCUCUUCAAGUGGUCGGGAUAAUUAUUGGGCUUAAAGUGUCCGUAGCCAGUUUAGUAAGUUCCUGGUAAAAUCGGGUAGCUUAACUAUCUAUAUGCUAGGAAUGCUACUAUACUAGAGGGCGGGAGAGGUCUGAGGUACUACAGGGGUAGGGGUGAAAUCUUAUAAUCCUUGUUGGACCACCAGUGGCGAAGGCGUCAGACUGGAACGCGCCUGACGGUGAGGGACGAAAGCCAGGGGAGCGAACCGGAUUAGAUACCCGGGUAGUCCUGGCCGUAAACGAUGCAUACUAGGUGAUGGCACGGCCAUGAGCCGUGUCAGUGCCGUAGGGAAACCGUUAAGUGUGCCGCCUGGGAAGUACGGUCGCAAGGCUAAAACUUAAAGGAAUUGGCGGGGGAGCACCACAAGGGGUGAAGCCUGCGGUUC
This 850-nucleotide ribosomal RNA is filed under the name uncultured archaeon. Its description in RNAcentral is "bacterial SSU rRNA". It matches the Rfam family "Archaeal small subunit ribosomal RNA", at positions 67 to 903 of the family's 1478-position model. The record is from RNAcentral.